UCAUGGCUCAGAUUGAACGCUGGCGGCAGGCCUAACACAUGCAAGUCGAGCGGAUGAAGGGAGCUUGCUCCUGGAUUCAGCGGCGGACGGGUGAGUAAUGCCUAGGAAUCUGCCUGGUAGUGGGGGAUAACGUCCGGAAACGGGCGCUAAUACCGCAUACGUCCUGAGGGAGAAAGUGGGGGAUCUUCGGACCUCACGCUAUCAGAUGAGCCUAGGUCGGAUUAGCUAGUUGGUGGGGUAAAGGCCUACCAAGGCGACGAUCCGUAACUGGUCUGAGAGGAUGAUCAGUCACACUGGAACUGAGACACGGUCCAGACUCCUACGGGAGGCAGCAGUGGGGAAUAUUGGACAAUGGGCGAAAGCCUGAUCCAGCCAUGCCGCGUGUGUGAAGAAGGUCUUCGGAUUGUAAAGCACUUUAAGUUGGGAGGAAGGGCAGUAAGUUAAUACCUUGCUGUUUUGACGUUACCAACAGAAUAAGCACCGGCUAACUUCGUGCCAGCAGCCGCGGUAAUACGAAGGGUGCAAGCGUUAAUCGGAAUUACUGGGCGUAAAGCGCGCGUAGGUGGUUCAGCAAGUUGGAUGUGAAAUCCCCGGGCUCAACCUGGGAACUGCAUCCAAAACUACUGAGCUAGAGUACGGUAGAGGGUGGUGGAAUUUCCUGUGUAGCGGUGAAAUGCGUAGAUAUAGGAAGGAACACCAGUGGCGAAGGCGACCACCUGGACUGAUACUGACACUGAGGUGCGAAAGCGUGGGGAGCAAACAGGAUUAGAUACC
Molecule: ribosomal RNA, 774 nt
Filed under: Pseudomonas aeruginosa
Lineage: Bacteria; Pseudomonadati; Pseudomonadota; Gammaproteobacteria; Pseudomonadales; Pseudomonadaceae
Description: bacterial SSU rRNA
Rfam family: Bacterial small subunit ribosomal RNA
Source: RNAcentral